Long non-coding RNA from Bubalus bubalis (water buffalo), 1586 nucleotides. RefSeq lists it as uncharacterized. NCBI's taxonomy places the organism in Eukaryota, Metazoa, Chordata, Mammalia, Artiodactyla, Bovidae. The transcript is spliced from 2 exons. The record is from RefSeq and is a predicted model, not a curated record.
UCCUGACCCAGGGAUCAAACCCACGUCUCCUGCAUUUGCAGGUGGAUUCUUCACCUCUGAGUCACCAGGGAAGUCCAAAAUCAACUAUACUCCAAUUUAAAAAAAAUUAAAAAAGAAAGAAAAGUAGGUGGAAAGUGAAUUUGGCAAAUCUGUACCAGGACCGGCUCAUCUCCAUCCCAGGGAAUAAGGACCCUGAGCCAUCUCAGGCUGCUCUCCUUCCCCUGUUCUCCUUGUGCUCAGCCUCUUGUUGCUGCUGUGGACCCCCCUCAUUCAUUCGCUCAUUCAUUCCCUCAGCCCACCCGCCCGGAGCGAUGGCUCAGCCAGCUUCCACUGGCCACAGACGCACCAGCCUCCCUCUCUUCUCCUCUGGUCCCAGGUUCUUGUCUCUGACGGUCUAGGAGCUACCAGUGGAAGAUGCUCCACUUUUAGCCCAAGCUUCCUUCAAAUGAGAGAAGAGUAAGAGCUAUAAGCUUUGAAAUAAGGUCCCAGCGAGCGGAUCGUUCCAAAUCAUAAGUUAAUCCAUCAGCAUGACAAAAAAUGGGACGUGACGGACUGUGUUCAAUUUAAAAGUUAAACUCAGAAUGAAUUUUAGGACCAGAAAACCAAGGGGGUUGAGAAUCCUGAGUGCGUGUUUGGGGGCCAGUGGGAGUGAGUUUUGCUUUGAGGGGUGUUUCUAUGCAUUUGUGUGUGUGUCAAUAAAACGAUACUAGUCAAAAGUCAGUAAUAUCUGCAUUUAAGGAGAAUAUUAGUAUUUCUUUCUGGAAUGCAGAUGCACAUGUAUUUAGAAUUAAAUUUUAUCUGGAUGUGUGUAUUAUCUUAUUGCCUUAGAAGCUGACCUGUUGCCUGGUCCCUAAGACAGCCUUCUUGUGUCCAUUACACCAUAAAACCAACCACAUGGCCCCUGCCACCACCUGGUUCGGGAUGCCUUCUCUAUCCAAGCCCAUUUACUCUGCUUCUCUGAAGCAUCCAGGAUCCAUCGGUAUUCUCUUUUCCUUGUCACGGCUCAGAGAUUAUCUUUGCUUCUUUGCCAGCUUUCCUGAGGAAGGGGUCUAACCUCCUGGUUCUGGGAGACUGGUCCCACUCCUGUCCAUAACGUCCAUGGUCCAUGACACAGCCUCCUUCCAUCCUGGGAGCCGAGCAUCCGGCCACCUGGACCGCGGUCCCUCCCAGCUCUCUCCUGAUUUGCACUGCGGCCGGCACCAGCCUGGUAUUCCUGGAGCUCUCCAAGGAGCAGGAGCUGGAUGAUUUAAAGGAGGAACUUGACCCUCAGUGAGGCAGAAGUUCCUCCCACAGAAAGAGCCUUGAAGCCCCAAACCCCCCAUCUUCCCCUUUGAGCCUGUGGUUGUUUUCUAAGACAUUCAUUUUUAUAGCAUCAAUGUCAUAUUUGUAGAGACCAUAGUGUAAGCAUUGAUAUGGUUCUCUGUGGGUGGAGAGGAGGUGCGAGUGCUGGAUCAGUGCAGUGAUAAUGUGGGCAGAGGCAUGUGGCUGAGCCCAGCCUGCGGGAAUGUCUUAGUGUCUCUACAGGUUACCCUGAUUCCAUUUCUCUGUAUAAAUGCUGAAUAAACAAGGAUACUUUUAUAAGAUUG